This 1053-nucleotide long non-coding RNA is filed under the name Felis catus (domestic cat). Its description in RNAcentral is "lncRNA (ENSFCAG00000052927.1)". Lineage: Eukaryota; Metazoa; Chordata; Mammalia; Carnivora; Felidae. The record is from RNAcentral.
GAAAAGGCCAAUGGUUCCCAAAGUUGGCCGGCCGUGAGAAUUAUCUGAAGAACUUUGAGAAAGCACAGAUGCCCCGGUAUCCCACCACCACUGAAUCCACAUGUUUGGAGGCGAGGCCAAGGAAAGUGCAUGUGUCAAACUUCCCUGAGUUAAUUUUGAUGACCAGCCACAUUUGAAUGCAGCUAUUUUCUAGGCCUUGAGGUGGCUUUAAGUGGUUUGGUUUAAGCAAUUACUGAACGCACAUAAGAGCGAUCUUCUGAUGUGUGGACGUGGGACCCCCCAGAGAGGAUAAAAUAAACAACUCACCAGUCAUAUCAGUAGCAUGAAGAAAAUGAAGAAGAAAUGUACAUUUCCUUUCGGUCAGGAUUCUCCACGACAGGCUCAAUGAGAAUAACCUGGAGGAGCUUUUCUCCAAGGCCUAUGCCCUGGAGCCCACAGCUGCCAGUUAAAUCAGACUCUCAAAUCUGAGCAAGACUCAGACCUCAGGAUUCUUUGAAAAGUAACCAGAUGAUGCAACCAGGUCGGUGGUGGAAGUAACGGCCCAAUCAAGGAAGUUUGAACCCGGGGUCCUUCAGAAAUCAUCGUGCGCUGGGAAAACUGGACCUUCCCCAAGACUUAUCAAGAGGCUGUGAAAAUAGAAUUCUGUGAAUCGGUAUAUUUGAGAGAUGUUCCCGACUGCCUACGCCCAUCUGUGAGGUGUAUGGGCGUAGUUCCUAUCGAUGUCUCCCAGAAGACCUGUGACCAAGAAAAGUGUGAACCUGGCUUAAUCCAGUACUUUUCCCCAGAAGUCACUUUUUAUUUUUAUGGCAUUUACUAACAGCUGAUGGAGCUCCAGGAACAAUGGCUCAAGGCAAGGAAGCCAGCAUUACCAAUGAGCCAUUCCCAUCAUAAAAGAGUCAGCCAGAGAUAUCUAAUAAUUUCCACCAUGCAAUUAUUAUUACUAUUUAUCUCAAUGGAAAUUGGUGCAUGUUUGGAGUUGAAACGCUAAGUAAAGAUCUGGAGCAUUCAAAAGGUAAUUAUCCUCCCUUGAAUAUUGACAUACUUACAUGUUUU